AGGCUGUCUGCAAGCUAGAGACGUAGUGAUGU
RNAcentral lists this non-coding RNA (32 nucleotides) under Homo sapiens (human). Lineage: Eukaryota; Metazoa; Chordata; Mammalia; Primates; Hominidae. The record is from RNAcentral.